CGGUUAAAAAGCUCGUAGUUGGAUUUCUGUCGAGGGCAGCCGGUCCGCACUCGGUGCGCGUAUCUGGUUUGACCUCGGCAUCCUCUCAAAAUACGUUUCUGCGCUUGAUUGCGUGGAGCGGAGUUUGAGACUUUUACUUUGAGGAAAUUAGAGUGUUCACGGCAGGCAAUCGCCUUGAAUAUAUUAGCAUGGAAUAAUAAUAUAGGAUCUUGGUUCUAUUUUGUUGGUUUCUAGAGCUAAGAUAAUGAUUAAUAGGGACAAUUGGGGGCAUUCGUAUUAACACGUCAGAGGUGAAAUUCUUGGAUUGUGUUACGACGAACUACUGCGAAAGCAUUUGCCAAGGAUGUUUUCAUUGAUCAAGAACGAAAGUGCGGGGAUCGAAGACGAUUAGAUACCGUCGUAGUCUGCACCAUAAACUAUGCCAACUAGAGAUUGGUGGUCGUUCUUUUUAUGACUCCAUCAGCACCUUAUGAGAAAUCAAAGUCUUUGGGUUCCGGGGGGAGUAUGGUCGCAAGGCUGAAACUUAAAGGAAUUGACGGAAGGGCACCACCAGGAGUGGAGCCUGCGGCUUAAUUUGACUCAACACGGGAAAAUUUACCAGGUCCAGACAUAGUAAGGAUUGACAGAUUGAUAGCUCUUUCUUGAUUCUAUGGGGUGGGUGGUGCAUGGGCCGU
RNAcentral lists this ribosomal RNA (674 nucleotides) under uncultured marine eukaryote. RNAcentral's name for it is "SSU rRNA". It matches the Rfam family "Eukaryotic small subunit ribosomal RNA", at positions 616 to 1292 of the family's 1831-position model. The record is from RNAcentral.